CGCGAGUCCUUCAGUCUUUUGCCACCAGUGCCGCGAAGUGGGCGGCGAGGCUUCCGUCCACAUGUUAUACCUUUUCGGCUGUUGCACGCGCACGCUAAUCCCAAAGUGAGUGUCGCGUGCGAUGCUCUAAUUAACCCUUCAAAAACACAAGUUCGAAUUUAUUUUAUGUUUCAUAAACCACGUGGGUUUUCGGCGUAAAAAUAUUUACAAAAAAAUUUCGAACUGCGGUGCAGAAUUGCGGCAGCAACAAUUAUUUUCGCAUAGGAAAAUUACACAUAUACCACUCCAUAGCAAACGAGAACGAAACUAUGUCUGGUGAUAACAACGUGUAAAAUUGUUUGGUGCGUGAUAAUCGAAGAGAGACUGGAGGGGGAUUAAUGUUUAGCAUUUAGCUUGGACAGCAGUACCAGUAAUUCAAUAUGUGGCAAAGAUAAAAUAUUUAGAUAAGGAGCAAAUUUAGCAUGGAUACGAGAUCAUGAAAUAGGCAUCGUAUUUGUAUUCCUUUUCUAUUAAUCAAGCCAUAUUUUGUAUUGUUUGUGCUUAUAAUAAUAUAAACAAUAAACUAAGGUCAU
Molecule: long non-coding RNA, 572 nt
Organism: Photinus pyralis (common eastern firefly)
Lineage: Eukaryota; Metazoa; Arthropoda; Insecta; Coleoptera; Lampyridae
Exons: 3
Source: RefSeq, a predicted model, not a curated record